RNAcentral lists this long non-coding RNA (1222 nucleotides) under Populus trichocarpa (black cottonwood). RNAcentral describes it as "long non-coding RNA (PTRI_LNC000891)". The record is from RNAcentral. Lineage: Eukaryota; Viridiplantae; Streptophyta; Magnoliopsida; Malpighiales; Salicaceae.
CAAUUUAGUUUUUUUACAUCCAAUACCAAGUUCAGGAGUUUUUCUAUAAUGAUCCCAUGCCAAAUAUAUUCUUCCUCUACUAACACUGGAUAUGGGAAUUAAAGGUUGAGAUGAUUGAGUUGUUGAUAUAUUCUUCCUCUACUAACACUGGAUAUGGGAAUUAAAGGUUGAGAUGAUUGAGUUGUUGAAGGAUCACUAUUAGAAGUACUACCAUCAUGAAAUGACAUUUUAAAGAUUUAUAUUAAACCAAAUCAAACAUAAAUUAUCACAUUAUAUUUACCUAAUUAACAAUACAUUUGAAAUUAUCGCAUUAGAUAAAACAAGAUCAUAAUAUUAUAUUAGGCAAGCAUUACUGAUAUUCAAACUUUCUAGCAAUUUUCAUAGCAUCAGUUAAUAAGAUGUUGCAUGGAUAUCCUGCAUGAACUUGCCCCAUUUAUCAAAGUGACAGUGGACCACAGUAUGUUAAGAGUACAAUAACAACAAAGAUUAUCCUGCAUGUUUAACAAGUAAAUAUAUUUGAAAUUAUCACAUUAGAUAUAACAAGAUCAAAUGGCAAAUAUAAAAGUAACAUUAUACUUGGCAAGCAUUAUUGGUAUUCAUACUUUCUAGCCAUUUUCACUGCAUCAAUUAAUAAGAUGCUGUCCUGUCCUGUUCUGUCCCUCAUCCUAUCAUACUUUCUAGCAAAGGACUAAUUAAUGGACCAUGCAAAUCACUCCCAGAAUACUCUUGAUUGGGUUUUGAUUGAUACCACUGUAUUUAUAUAUACAGUCCAUAGAUUAUAAGGAGAGACCCAGAAUUUCCCCAGACCUUCGAGAGGAAUGUAUGUUAUGCCUUGUCAAGAUUUCUAUAGCAGGACCCAUGUAGAAGAUACCAAGAAAAAAGGAAAUAAAUUACAAGAUAUGGAAAAGCAAAAGGAGUCAUCCAAUAUCCUGAUGAAAAAUCCUGUGUGUACAUUAUUAUUUUGUUUCGAGACUUUUAGGUAGAUAAUAAAAUAAGUUUCUGUGUUUUGUUCAUGAAAAACAAGCCAACUUACCACCCAAACCAAACUGCCAAAGGUUUUACCAUAAUUUCCAGUUCUAACAUUAGAAUACAAAUUUAAGCCAAUGCCAGAUUUUUGCAUUUUCUAGGAAACAUAAAAAUACAGUCGCUGAUGCAAGAUAAUGCAGAGUUAAACCUAUCAACUAACAAGAAGUUACAUUUGGAUAAUCCGCGCCGUUAAUUA